UGGGAUGUAGCUCAGUGGUAAAGUCCUUGCCUAGCAUGCUCAAGGCCCUGGGUUCAAUCCCCAGCACCACAA
RNAcentral lists this transfer RNA (72 nucleotides) under Urocitellus parryii (Arctic ground squirrel). Its description in RNAcentral is "Spermophilus parryii (Arctic ground squirrel) tRNA". It matches the Rfam family "tRNA". From Rfam's summary of the family: Transfer RNA (tRNA) molecules are approximately 80 nucleotides in length. RNAcentral also lists the same sequence under 2 other names. Lineage: Eukaryota; Metazoa; Chordata; Mammalia; Rodentia; Sciuridae. The record is from Rfam by way of RNAcentral.